This is a long non-coding RNA of Pipistrellus kuhlii (Kuhl's pipistrelle), 729 nucleotides long. RefSeq lists it as uncharacterized. NCBI's taxonomy places the organism in Eukaryota, Metazoa, Chordata, Mammalia, Chiroptera, Vespertilionidae. The transcript has 2 exons. The record is from RefSeq and is a predicted model, not a curated record.
AUUAUCAUAUUACCUUCUUAUUGGCCAUGGGCAUUGCCAUCUUUGCGAUGGUGUGAGGGUCAAUUAGCACAUUCCCUCUUUAUUAUAUAGAAUUCGCAUUUUAGAACAUGGAUUAUUAUAUCACAUUUUAGAACAUGGAAUCUUGCCAUAUUUUAUAGUUUAUUGGGAAUAUUUUAAUUUACAAGUUUAUUUCAUAUAUGCAGCUCAGUUUCCCUAUAAAUAAGAAAGAACCUAGAAGUGGAAAUGUUUUUUGAUGUCCUACCCAUUUCAUAAAAUGACGAUUUAGAUAUUGUGUAUUGACUGUUGGCACUGAACUUUAACCUUCAUUGAAAUGUUACAUCAAGCUGAGCUGUACGCUCUUGGCUCUUUCCUCUUCAUAGCUUAAUCCCAGCCAACUGCAUUCACAGCAGUCCCCAUGGAGAAAAAGAUGCCUGUAGAUGUAUGGGAUAUAAAGUGGGUGCUCAGUACAGACAAGGGGGAUUUAGACUUUGGAUCCUGCUGCAUGGUCGAUAGGUCUGCAGAGUUAGACGCCAUGAUGCUGAGCUCAUACACAGGAGCUCAGCAUCUUAGCAGUGGCCAUAAAACCUGAGUACUGAGAUCGGUCACCUACCACUCUGCAAGUAAGCAGUUUUGAUGCAGCAACCUUGGGGAACAAGUCCUUUAUUUUGGAACCCAUGUUUAAUCUUAGGUAUUUUAGGCAGAUGAUAUCUAAACCAGAAGUAGAAUUGU